GAUGAACGCUGGCGGCGUGCCUAAUACAUGCAAGUCGAGCGAACAGAUGAGAAGCUUGCUUCUCUGAUGUUAGCGGCGGACGGGUGAGUAACACGUGGGUAACCUACCUAUAAGACUGGGAUAACUCCGGGAAACCGGGGCUAAUACCGGAUGAUAUUUUGAACCGCAUGGUUCAAUAGUGAAAGACGGUUUCGGCUGUCACUUAUAGAUGGACCCGCGCCGUAUUAGCUAGUUGGUAAGGUAACGGCUUACCAAGGCGACGAUACGUAGCCGACCUGAGAGGGUGAUCGGCCACACUGGAACUGAGACACGGUCCAGAGUCCUACGGGAGGCAGCAGUAGGGAAUCUUCCGCAAUGGGCGAAAGCCUGACGGAGCAACGCCGCGUGAGUGAUGAAGGUCUUCGGAUCGUAAAACUCUGUUGUUAGGGAAGAACAAAUUUGUUAGUAACUGAACAAGUCUUGACGGUACCUAACCAGAAAGCCACGGCUAACUACGUGCCAGCAGCCGCAGUAA
This 514-nucleotide ribosomal RNA is filed under the name uncultured bacterium. RNAcentral's name for it is "partial 16S ribosomal RNA". It matches the Rfam family "Bacterial small subunit ribosomal RNA", at positions 28 to 523 of the family's 1533-position model. The record is from RNAcentral.